CUCUCGCUGAAUUAUACACUCAGAAUCAAAACAACCCAAAAAUAAGAAUGCCAGCGCAUCAAAAUAAAGUUCGAUUGGCUUUCUUAAUUUUGGGCUGCUGUCAAUAAACCAAAAUCAAAGUUCGAAGCCCGAACUGAAUGCCGCAAAAAAAAUUUCCCUUUGUUUACAGUUAGUCUCGUUUGUUCCCAAACAAGUCGGUCACUUUGGAAAAAAUGGUCUGGAUUGAUGGAAGACGUGUCCAGCUGUUGCAUCUGCGCUUCAGGGGGAUUUGUAACUAGUGAACAAUCUAACCUAAAUAUGGAACGAAACUAGCUGACCGGAAGUCCGGAUGGAGGAAGAAUAGUUAAAACGUCCACUUACUGUAAUCGGGAGCAUCAGUAAACAUUUAGACAUGAAUCCUACCGUUCCAUCAACCAUAGUGAUGAAUAUACUUAAUUACAGUGACGAUUCAGUCUAUCAUUUCCUCCAUCCUGUUGCAUGAAAAAACAUCCGAACCGUAACCGAUAUUUUUGGGAUUCAGCAGUUCCGGUUACUACGAAGAUCCUCGACAUGAUUGGCCGGAUUCUAAUAUCGUGCCUUCCGAUGGCUAAAAGUUCGGUUUUAUUAAGUUGCUUUCUCUAAAAAAAAUAUCCCUGCUUGCAUGUCACAAGAUUGAAAGAAGUUUUUUUUUUAAUAAAAAUAAAUUUACUGAUACUGAAUAAAAAA
Long non-coding RNA from Uranotaenia lowii, 705 nucleotides. RefSeq lists it as uncharacterized. Lineage: Eukaryota; Metazoa; Arthropoda; Insecta; Diptera; Culicidae. The transcript has 4 exons. The record is from RefSeq and is a predicted model, not a curated record.